GAUGAACGCUGGCGGCGUGCUUAACACAUGCAAGUCGAACGAAGCAAUUUUUCGGAAGUUUUCGGAUGGAAGAAAAAUUGACUGAGUGGCGGACGGGUGAGUAACGCGUGGGUAACCUGCCCUAUGCAGGGGGAUAACAGUCGGAAACGGCUGCUAAUAGCGCAUAAGACCACAGUACCGCAUGGUACAGGGGUAAAAACUCCGGUGGCAUAGGAUGGACCCGCGUCUGAUUAGCUGGUUGGUGAGGUAACGGCUCACCAAGGCGACGAUCAGUAGCCGACCUGAGAGGGUGACCGGCCACAUUGGGACUGAGACACGGCCCAAACUCCUACGGGAGGCAGCAGUGGGGAAUAUUGCACAAUGGGCGAAAGCCUGAUGCAGCGACGCCGCGUGAGUGAAGAAGUAUUUCGGUAUGUAAAGCUCUAUCAGCAGGGAAGAAAAUGACGGUACCUGACUAAGAAGCCCCGGCUAACUACGUGCCAGCCGCCGCAGUAAGAC
This 498-nucleotide ribosomal RNA is filed under the name uncultured bacterium. Its description in RNAcentral is "bacterial SSU rRNA". It matches the Rfam family "Bacterial small subunit ribosomal RNA", at positions 28 to 526 of the family's 1533-position model. The record is from RNAcentral.